This 1588-nucleotide long non-coding RNA is filed under the name Manihot esculenta (cassava). RNAcentral describes it as "long non-coding RNA (MESC_LNC002228)". Lineage: Eukaryota; Viridiplantae; Streptophyta; Magnoliopsida; Malpighiales; Euphorbiaceae. The record is from RNAcentral.
UUUCUAUUGCUCACCAAGUGGAAACAAUUAUAUUUCACUCGGAUAACUUCCCUCCCACUAAAAUAUGAUGUCUUCAAAUGCUUGAAUACCAGAUUCGGGGAGAAUUGUUAUUUUGCAGGUAUCUAUCUUUUAAUUUUGUUGCUUUAUUGUUUUGGUUGAAUAAUGGAGUGACUAAUUUUUUGUAAAUUUUGCAGUUUCAGAGGUGCUUAUGGAUGAGGUUACUACUCUCCGGAAUUUCUCUCUGUCCAAGGACACCAUCAAGUGAGCCGUCAAGGCUAUUACUUCUCAGAAAACUAUGGAGGUGGUAACUGAGAUGCUCAGCCCAAAGCCUUCGUCUAUCAGAGAUUUGGAACCUCCAGUUCCUACUGUCCAACCUUUCUAGGGUGUUGGUGUUGGAUCUAUUCAACCCAUUUCCUUCUGUCCUUUUGAGACAAUUGGAGCUAGUGCUAACUGCAUUGCUGUUACUUGCCACACUAGGACUCCCACUGACCACUCGGAAGCUUUGAUUGUUGUUACCUCCGAGCCUUCCUCCCCUGUUAUUGAGGUGUUUGAUGGACUAAGGAGGAAGAACUUGAGGUUUCCUUCCAAGCCAAUCACUAAUCCUUCUGAGGUUCCUAUAAAAAGGAGAAGGUUGGUGAAGGAGGCUGACUUGAGUGCAUCAAAGAAAGGUAAUGCCUCUUCCUCUUGCAAGGAAGUGUCUACUCCAACCCAUGUGAGUCGAAGCAAUGGUGACCUAUCUUUGGGUGUUGGCAAUGAGAUCCAAUAUGCCUUAGUUCCUUAUGAAUCUGGGUUUCACUUUCAACUGAACCUGAAGUCUACCCCUACCCUUUAUCACCGAGUUAUUGAAUAAUCAUGUUUUUGGGACUUCUCCAGACCUUAAUGAUCCCUGGUAGUGGGUACACUUUGCAAUAUUGUAAAAUCAAGUAAGCAAUUUGUGACUUAUAGUCCUAAAGUAGUGGAGGACAUAUUUGCUUACAUUUACUUAGGCCUCCUUUGUGGUUGCAUUUCUUAAAUGACUUUUGAACUCUACUUUUCCAUUUAUACCUCCUUAGUGCUUUGAUAGAAUUGAGGAAAAAGUGAUGAGUGCUCGCAAAUCAGCCUGUCAAGAUGUGGAAAAGGCUGAGGAUGAGGAGGUUGCUCGUGUGGCUGCCUCUGUGGAAGAUCAGCACAAGGUUGAUGUUAAUCAUUUAAAAGAGCUCCUUCAUGAGAUUCAACUAUGCAGCAACAGAGGAUCCUAGUUGGAGGCUUAAUUGGCUCAAGAGCAAGCAAAAGUAGAAGCCUGGACUGCCCAGGAGAAGGCUUAUGUGGAUCACAGGAUUAAGGGCUUCAUUGCUUAAGCUAUGGAAUUGGAAAAAGAAUUGGAGAAUAUAAAUGAGGAGCUAACUAAUGCUUGCGAUGAGUUGGCUAAGGCUCCUGAGGACAGACAUGCUUCUGAGUUGUUAAAGAAUCAGCUUAGGCAUGAAGUUUACUCUCUUUCUGAUAAGUGUAAGAAUAUGAGAUUACCAUUUUAGGUCUUCGAGAAGGUGCUGAAAUUGUUGCUUGGAGCCAAUAUAAAAAAAUUUUGAAGUCGAAUGAGUUUAAAGAGAAG